Molecule: long non-coding RNA, 581 nt
Filed under: Homo sapiens (human)
Lineage: Eukaryota; Metazoa; Chordata; Mammalia; Primates; Hominidae
Description: HSALNT0055430
Source: RNAcentral
CCAGGCCGCUUUGUUUACCUAAUCAAACAACUAACUAGGCAGUGUCGGGCGCCCCUCCCCCAGCCUCGCUGCCGCCUUGCAGUUUGAUCUCGGACUGGUGUGCUAGCAAUGAGGGAGACUCCGUGGGCAUACAACCUUCUGAGCCAGAACCUGGAUGUUGACGGGGCCACCUCUGAUCUUGUGAGGAACUAGUCGGCGAGCAAUUGCUGAAGCUGCAAAAGGCAGAGAAGAAUAGCUAUCCAACAGCUUUCUCCCUGAAAAACAUGGAAACUGGAGCCAGAAACUAGCAACUGGCUUUGUUCCUGUGGGCUGCAGUCAGCUGGUACCUGAACCUGAAGUGACACCUCGAAUCAAGGAGCCUGACAUACAUCGAUGAGAUGCAUAAGACAGCAGUCCUUGCCUCCUGGGACUUACAAAAGAUGAAGAAGUGUCUCACUUUGUCGUCCAGGAUGAAGUGCAGUGAAGUGACCACAGCUCACUGUAGCCUUGACCUCGUGGGCUCAAGCGAUCCUCCCACCUCAGUUUCAGAAGUAGCUGGGGCUAUAGGCAUGCACCACAAUGCCUAAUUUUUUAAAUUUCUU